RNAcentral lists this ribosomal RNA (393 nucleotides) under uncultured bacterium. RNAcentral's name for it is "bacterial SSU rRNA". It matches the Rfam family "Bacterial small subunit ribosomal RNA", at positions 28 to 428 of the family's 1533-position model. The record is from RNAcentral.
GACGAACGCUGGCGGCGUGCUUAACACAUGCAAGUCGAGCGGUAAGGCCCUUUCGGGGGUACACGAGCGGCGAACGGGUGAGUAACACGUGGGUGACCUGCCCUUAGCUCUGGGAUAAGCCUGGGAAACUGGGUCUAAUACCGGAUAUGACUCCAUGACGCAUGUUGUGGGGUGGAAAGCCUUGUGCGGCUAGGGAUGGGCCCGCGGCCUAUCAGCUUGUUGGUGGGGUGAUGGCCACCAAGGCGACGACGGUAGCCGGCCUGAGAGGGCGACCGGCCACACUGGGACUGAGACACGGCCCAGACUCCUACGGGAGGCAGCAGUGGGGAAUCUUGCGCAAUGGGCGAAAGCCUGACGCAGCGACGCCGCGUGGGGAUGACGGCCUCGGUGUAA